GAUGAACGCUGGCGGCGUGCCUAAUACAUGCAAGUCGAGCGAACAGACGAGGAGCUUGCUCCUCUGACGUUAGCGGCGGACGGGUGAGUAACACGUGGAUAACCUACCUAUAAGACUGGGAUAACUUCGGGUAACCGGAGCUAAUACCGGAUAAUAUAUUGAACCGCAUGGUUCAAUAGUGAAAGACGGUUUUGCUGUCACUUAUAGAUGGAUCCGCGCCGCAUUAGCUAGUUGGUAAGGUAACGGCUUACCAAGGCAACGAUGCGUAGCCGACCUGAGAGGGUGAUCGGCCACACUGGAACUGAGACACGGUCCAGACUCCUACGGGAGGCAGCAGUAGGGAAUCUUCCGCAAUGGGCGAAAGCCUGACGGAGCAACGCCGCGUGAGUGAUGAAGGUCUUCGGAUCGUAAAACUCUGUUAUUAGGGAAGAACAAAUGUGUAAGUAACUAUGCACGUCUUGACGGUACCUAAUCAGAAAGCCACGGCUAACUACGUG
RNAcentral lists this ribosomal RNA (497 nucleotides) under uncultured bacterium. RNAcentral's name for it is "partial 16S ribosomal RNA". It matches the Rfam family "Bacterial small subunit ribosomal RNA", at positions 28 to 507 of the family's 1533-position model. The record is from RNAcentral.